UUAAACAAAACUACUUAUGGUGAAGUUUUCCCUGCAAGGCUGGAUAAUCACAAAUCACUAAGCUGUUGUCACACAGGACUUUCUUAUUUGUGUAUUAUCAAGUUUCCAUUUUAUUUUAUUGUAGUUUAGGUUAGCAUCUCAUUUGCAAAUGUAAGAAGACCUUUUUCUUUAAUCUCCCCAAAGACUUGCAGUGACAGAGGUAGGGACAUCAGUAGACCCAGAAGCCACCACCACAUUCCUCUGCAUGUGAUUUGUCGCUUUCCAGGUGAAUUGCGUAAUUAUGGGGCUGUGCUCUCUGAGACUGACAUCUUGCAAGGACAAGAUGGUAGUGGCUCACCUUGUUCCUGGUGUACACUCUAUUCAUGCUUUAUUUUACACUAAUCAUUUUAGAAAAUAAACAGUGCAAAAUAAGUGUAAUCUUAGCAAAGAAUUUUAUCUAAAGUAACAAUCUGAGGACCUGACAAUGAGCUGACUACAGAGAGUUGUUUUCGACUGCUCCUCUCUGCCGUAUUUUUAGUCUUGUAGUUUCCGUUGUUAUGUUCAGAUGCACCUACUAUGGCUGCUACUAUUAUCAUUCUCUUUUGAUUAUUCUCAUCCUCCCUAGACUUCUUCUCCUUGGUCUCCUUCAAAGGUCUUUUUCCUCUAUAUGGAUUUCCCAGAGCUCAUUCUUUGAUCUUUAUGGGGACACGGUUGGUGCCCCACUCAGGUCACCUUUACCUGCUAGUGCCUCUGCUGCCUCGGCUACUGUUGGUGUUGGCUGCUGAUGGCUCACUACUGGCCCCCUUCUCUGAAGACUUGCCUGAAUGAAGAGCCACCUCUUCCGGAAGUCAUGCUCUGCUCCUUUCCCAGAGCAGCCUGAAGCUAACAAUUCUCUGAUGGGAGAGGAGCUCUAAAACGCUGGCCCCCAUGGCUCCAGGUGAGGUCAUUUCUGUGGUACGUUGCUGAUUCAGACCUCCCUGUGGGAUUGAGCUGAAGGGAAGCUACAUCUGAGACCACAUCCUUGCUUAGCUUUUUUCCCUGCACUAACCCACUUCCCCACUUCCUUUCUCCUGAGAGCUUUCCUUCAGUAAAUAAUUUGAACAAGAGUUUCCAUCUUAGAUUGCUUCUAGGGAAGAGUCAUAUAGUUCUCUCCUUACAGCUCCUCUCUAGGCAAUCUCAUGGUUUCAAGAAAAGCUAAUAUACUGACUUUCAAACUGAUAUUCUGCAGCUCAUGUCUCUUGUGUAAAUUCCAGACUGAGAAGUACAACCGCCUGCUUUUUUAGGUUUUGUUAAAUUUAGGACUGCCUCCUGUCUUUGGGCAAGGUUGUAUUUUGAUUCUUUUUAAUUGCCUUGAAUUAGAAAUUUCAGGAUCAUAAAAAUCUGAGGCCAGCCGAAAGCUUCAUAUGCCCUUUAUUCCUUAUCAAAUGCAAUAGUCUUAGGAAUAUUACAUGUUCCUAUGGGCACAUCAAGACUGUGGGCAGUGGCAUAAAUCACGUAGACUUGGGUUGUGUGUAGUUCCUGAAGUUUUUGUCUUUUUGAGAAAGCCUGUGAAAGUUCAUGAAAAUAAAAGUGAUAUUAUAGGGAACACCUUGAUUGCACUGAAAUUUACAAAAAUCCAAAUCAUGCAAACCUCAAUACCUUGAUCAUUUUUACCAAUAAGUUACUUUCUAUAAGCCUCACAACAUUGCUAUGCUACAACAUAGUGAGGUUAACCUCCCUGACAGAAGACUUUCUUGAGUUCUACAGGCUGAGCUUAAUUCUGGUAAACAUACCUCCCUUGUGCUACUCAUCAGAUUGCAUUUCAAUCGUUUGUUUCCUUGUUUGUAUUGCCUCUAACCCCUGGAGGUUGUGGAUUGUAUUAUUUUUAAUCUUUUCUUGAUAAAUUCCACCGUUUGUGCAACCAGGUAUUGGUGGGUGAAUGUCAGGACAUUGGGUGGCUCCUGCCCCAGCCGUGAGCCAAGACACGAUUCUCCCACAAUCUCACAGCCUUGGCCUGGCUAUAGCCUUCCCACAGCCAUCUUGGCAUGGCAGCCAGAGCUACCGUGUGCCCGUAUUCUCUGAAGGCCUCUUGCUCCCACUGGCACCCAGACUCCCACUGCACACCCACACCACCAGUCGUUCGCCUCCUCUCCCACUUGUGCUAUGGAGGGCGCCUGUUUCUUGCCCAGCACUCCAGACCAGCUCACGCCUGGCUGAACCAGUGAAAUCUCUGCUACCCGGUAGCCAAACCACACCUUCUCCUACAGUCUCAAUGUCUUCCACAUUUGCCUUUCCUUGGGUGUCGUAGAGAGUUUCCUCAUGUCUUAUAGUUACUUUUUUUUUUAUCAUAGCUAACAAUUUUCUGUAUUAACCUUCCCCUUUUUAACCUACUGGAUGGUUUCUAUCUCUGUUUGUGCUCAGACUUCCACAGUAUGUGUGCCAGAGUAUGCAUGCCAUAGCAUGCCUUCCACAGGCUAGCCUAAGUGACACACCUGAAUCUGGACACGUGCAUUAAUUUGUGUAUCAAAAUGAACUGGAGCCUAAAGAAAAGUCAUAAUGGUCUUUCACUAUUUCAUUUUUGGCCGCUGAAUUUUUGUGUUUAUUUUCAACCCAAUUAGUAUUCCAGAUUAAACCCUUGAGGUUUUGUUUUUGUUUUUGUUUAAGACUCCUCAUAAAAUAACAAUUUUGAGUUUUGAGUCUUAGGGACAUGCUUAAAAAUAGAUGGAGAUAUGGGAUUCACGUGUAUAAAACUCAAGAUAUUUUAUUCCUUCUAUUGGGAAAGAUUAUUUGGGGAUAUUUAGAAAAAAUGACUCUAUCAAAAUCAGAUGUGGGCUGAUUGUGAACACAAGUAAGAAUACAGAAAGAUCCAGUCAAAGACAUUGAAGAGCGCCGUUGACCACGCUGUGAAUCUAUCAGAUUUGACUACUUGAGCUUUUGUUGGCUGUAGAGACGAUGCCUUCAACUAGCAGGUUUAGUUCCUCUCACUUCCUAAAUAUAUCACUUAGGAUUCUUUCUGUUGCAUGUGAAAGAAAACCAAUUCUACCUGGCUUAAAAAUAAGGGGAAUUUAUCGGCUCAAGUUGCUUGAAAGUCCAGGGGAUAGUCUCGUUUGAAGUACAGCUCGGUCAGGGGCUCAAACAGCGCGGUCAGGACUUCAUCCCCAUCUUUACUUCUUACUUCUUUUCCUGUUGGCUUCAUUCUUAGUCUCUAGAGGAAAGAAAACCAGAAAGAUGUCACUUAUCAGUUCUCCUAGGUUAAAACAGAGUAGAAGUGAAAGCAACUCUUUCUGGGCGCUCCCACCAAAUCCUGGCCUUUACUCUGACUGGAACUGCUUGGGUUACAUGCGUAACCUUGAACCAAGGACCAGUAGAACGUGGGUUGUACGACCCCUUUUUGAGUUUGGGUCAUCAUUGGAACCAGAGAGAGAGUCAGUAGGAAUGGCUCUCUACAGAAAGUAGAGAAGUCUUCUUCAGGGUGUCUCUCCUGAAGGACAGAUAAAUGCUUGGUAGACAAAAUGACAAAUGUGCACUGGACUAGGCAAACCUUGCACAAGACUGCCUCACUCUUGGUAGCCCACAGCAGCCCAUCUCCUCGGACGUGUUGUGCUGCCCCUAAUCCCAGUAUUCACCAUGACCAGCAGAAGGCACCUACGUGUUCGUGGAGCCACACCUGACUGUGACCCUUGCCAGUAGCUCAUUCUCUCAGAAUUGGCUGGGUUCUUCGAUCAAGGUAUGUACAUCACCUGUCAGACCUGCCAGACUUUGAGUGAAGAUGCCCAGAGUGGGCAGCAGUCUUUCUGUACCUACCCCACAUGCCAAAGUAGCCUGUGUGUUUCUGAGACCAACAUGUCCUUGUUAACUGCUUUUGAUCAUUCCGUGUACUCAUUUACAGGGUCUCAAACUUGCCAAUCUAAGACGGUAAGAGCAGACAGUGAAGGUGGAUGCGUCUCUCCUCAAUUCCAUUUCCCACGGUGAUGUUGAUCCUACAAAUGCUCUGCAGUUUCUGAAGACAACGUGAUGCAACUUAAGCCCUCCUAUUGUGGAUGAGACAGGAUUUUGUGAUGUGACCAUUGUCAGCAGCAGGAAAGAAAUCAGUGGGAAAUUGAAGUCCAGAUUCAUGGUAUACUUGGAAAGAUGACUUUUUUUUAUAUAGAUACUUCCUGAAAUGAAAUAAAAGAGGUGUGAGAUAGGAGAGAUGGACAGUCCAAAUCAUUUAGAGCAAGUUCAAAAUCAAGACAGAAAUGUCCCUUCUCUGUUUUGGGUAAAACCUUUAUUUUUUCACUUAAUUCACUUUAUUCUUCACUUUGCCUUAAUGAAGACUUCAAAUUUAGACUGACGCAAGCUUCGUUUUCCCUAGUCUCACCUUACUUCAUUUCCUUCUCUCACCAUCUUCGUUAAAUCUUCAAAUUUUUCUAUGAGGGCUUCAUUAAUAACAUGUAAAUCCAUAAUUUAAUGCAACCUAAAGGGAAUCCGUUUGGUUAUUUUAUAUACAUGCAUUUUCUGUGGAUUAAGCAUCCCUGAAAGUCAGGCUUUUAAAUGAAAUUUAUAUAUUAAACUUCUUAUUAGCACUUGGAAAAUGCUUGAUUAUUUUGGACAUUAAAAUGUUAACAAUUUUUAAAUUGUUUGACAUAGGUUCCCAGUCACGAUGUGUGAUAUUGGGUCUCUUCAUACAUUAUAUUACCUUCCUGGACUUUUUCUGAGUUUGGGAUCCCUGCAGUGGAGAGCUCGGGGAUGGGUAGCAGGGAGGAUCCAUAUCAGUUUUUUGAUGUUCUUUUUAAGAAAAAAAGAAAAACCAUGGCAGAAAGAAGAGGAAGAGAAAGGAAAUUUCACAACUGUGGAAGGUGGCAGAGGCCAGUAUCGGAGAGUGACGAUCAAGCGUAAGGUGCCUCCUGGACUAACGGUAGCUGGAGAAGCGUGUACCAUCUAUGAGGAUGCUGACAAUUCUGACCUGUAGGACAGUCAGGUUACAAAAAGGAAGGUUACCUUGAUUACUGAUAUGGAACUACCUGAGUGUCUGCUGAUGUGGGGCCCAGCUGUCCUGGCAGAGAUUUUUCCAGCAUGGAGAGCCUCGAAACCACAGAUGCAGGCAAGUCUGUGCUGAAGAACCUGACAAGAGGGGACAGCAGAGGCCGCUUUCCAUAGAGCUAUAUAGCUUAGCAUAGAAAGAUAGAUCCAGAGUUGAAAAUUCUGAAUUAGAUCCAGUUGGAAAGUCUAGAUUAUUACCCAGUUUCAUCUCUUCUAAGUUUUCUACAAUGCGUUGAUAAUUGGUGUCUCUGCCUUACUAUUUCUUGAGCUGGGAAGAAGCCCUCUAUUGCAAACUCACCCGUUCCUCUGCUGGACAUCUCUAGAUUUCAGCUAGGCAUUUAGACACGAGCUGCGGACAGUCUCCUGGUUACUCAACCUCGUGGUUGUGGAGUCUCGUCCUUUGGCUCCUACAGCAGGUUGUGUGUAUGUCUGUCCUGCCAGUUACAAUAUGGCUUACUGUAAUGGAGUGUUUACUUGCUUCUCUCCCCCUUUAGACUCUGAGGCCUAGGGGAAAAGGGAUGUGUUUCUCUUUGUUUCUCUAGCCCCUAGCAUGAUUCUGAUCAGAUGUAGGUGCCCAGUGAAUGUUAAUAUCCUAGAGUUAUACUGACCAAGGCUAAUCCUUUAACAUCUGACAAGCCUUCAAAACUCUCAGGACAACUGUGAUUGCAAACAAGUCUCAAGGAAUAUUGAUGCAUCUAUAAACAAGAUUAUUUGUGAAAAUACAGCUUGGUAUAUAUUUUCAGGAAUUCAAUUUUCCUGUCCUUGUAAAUGUUUACGCUUAUUCCAGUGUGUGCACGUCUUGAGGGAGUCAUAAUAGUGUUGGCUGCAAGUGCUGGUUACCUCCUUAA
Molecule: long non-coding RNA, 5828 nt
Filed under: Equus caballus (horse)
Lineage: Eukaryota; Metazoa; Chordata; Mammalia; Perissodactyla; Equidae
Description: lncRNA (ENSECAG00000056054.1)
Source: RNAcentral